Molecule: non-coding RNA, 97 nt
Organism: Hirsutella rhossiliensis
Lineage: Eukaryota; Fungi; Ascomycota; Sordariomycetes; Hypocreales; Ophiocordycipitaceae
Source: the annotation of a RefSeq genome assembly
GCCCCGGUAGCUCAACGGAAGAGCAGUUCAACUGCAAAGUUGCGGAAAAACGGCAAGUGCCUUGGAAAGGUCGCCAGUUCAACUCUGGCCUGGGGCA